GAUUGACUAAGGUUUCCAGAGGAAGGCUCGUCCGCUCUGGGUUAGUCGGGUCCUAAGCUGAGGCCGACAGGCGUAGGCGAUGGAUAACAGGUUGAUAUUCCUGUACCACCUAUAAUCGUUUUAAUCGAUGAGGGGACGCAGUAGGAUAGGCGAAGCGUGCGAUUGGAUUGCACGUCUAAGCAGUAAGGCUGAGUAUUAGGCAAAUCCGGUACUCGUUAAGGCUGAGCUGUGAUGGGGAGAAGACAUUGAGUCUUCGAGUCGUUGAUUUCACACUGCCGAGAAAAGCCUCUAGAUAGAAAAUAGGUGCCCGUACCGCAAACCGACACAGGUAGUCAAGAUGAGAAUUCUAAGGUGAGCGAGCGAACUCUCGUUAAGGAACUCGGCAAAAUGACCCCGUAACUUCGGGAGAAGGGGUGCUCUUUAGGGUUAACGCCCAGAAGAGCCGCAGUGAAUAGGCCCAAGCGACUGUUUAUCAAAAACACAGGUCUCUGCUAAACCGUAAGGUGAUGUAUAGGGGCUGACGCCUGCCCGGUGCUGGAAGGUUAAGAGGAGUGGUUAGCUUCUGCGAAGCUACGAAUCGAAGCCCCAGUAAACGGCGGCCGUAACUAUAACGGUCCUAAGGUAGCGAAAUUCCUUGUCGGGUAAGUUCCGACCCGCACGAAAGGCGUAACGAUUUGGGCACUGUCUCAACGAGAGACUCGGUGAAAUCAUAGUACCUGUGAAGAUGCAGGUUACCCGCGACAGGACGGAAAGACCCCGUGGAGCUUUACUGUAGCCUGAUAUUGAAAUUCGGCACAGCUUGUACAGGAUAGGUAGGAGCCUUUGAAACGUGAGCGCUAGCUUACGUGGAGGCGCUGGUGGGAUACUACCCUAGCUGUGUUGGCUUUCUAACCCGCACCACUUA
This 904-nucleotide ribosomal RNA is filed under the name Staphylococcus aureus. RNAcentral describes it as "partial 23S ribosomal RNA". It matches the Rfam family "Bacterial large subunit ribosomal RNA", at positions 1339 to 2238 of the family's 2925-position model. The record is from RNAcentral. Lineage: Bacteria; Bacillati; Bacillota; Bacilli; Caryophanales; Staphylococcaceae.